This 764-nucleotide ribosomal RNA is filed under the name Oithona environmental sample. RNAcentral describes it as "eukaryotic LSU rRNA". It matches the Rfam family "Eukaryotic large subunit ribosomal RNA", at positions 1 to 678 of the family's 3401-position model. The record is from RNAcentral. Lineage: Eukaryota; Metazoa; Arthropoda; Copepoda; Cyclopoida; Oithonidae.
UCACGACCUGAGAGUAGGCAAGACUACCCGCCAAAUUUAAGCAUAUUAAUAAGCGGAGGAAAAGAAAAUAACCAUGAUGGCCUUAGUAAUGGCGAAUGAAACGGCCAGAGCCCAGCACCGAACCGCCGGCCAUCUCGGUCGCGUGGAAUGUGGUGUUUGGGAGAGCCUCAUCGCAGUGAGCCGAUGCGUUCAAGUACACCUUGACUGGGACCACGGCCCGUAGAGGGUGAUAGGCCCGUAAGACUGUUGGCUCGCUGCGCUGCUUUUCCCUAGAGUCGAGUUGUUUGGGAGUACAGCUCAAAGUGCGUGGUAAACUCCACGUAAGGCUAAAUAUGACCCCGAGACCGAUAGCGAACAAGUACCGUGAGGGAAAGUUGAAAAGCACUUUGAAGAGAGAGUUCAAGAGUACGUGAAACUGUAUAGUAGUAAACGGAGGGGUUCUCGAAGUCGGCGGUGACGGUUCAGGGUGACGGCGGGGCAGCCUCUGGCUCUGAGAUCUGCAAAGACUCGGGUUGGUUGUUGGCUUCGUCGGCGUCUGCACUCCGUUGCCGCCUCACGCAACGAACCGUUGUUGGCGAGCCGAGGGCGUGGGUGAAGUUUGGGGGCUCUUGUAGUGCCCAAGCCCUGCGUUCCUGGCCUUGUCGGCGACGGGUACUGGAGCGGUCUCGUAUAGCGAGUGUCCUCGUUGGCACGGGCCGCAUCUCUGUUGCGAGUAGGUCGGCGACCCCUCCGACCCGUCUUGAAACACGGACCAAGGAGUCUAA